AACGCACGAGACCUGCGGACCUGCGGAGGGAUCAUUAGUGAACGCCCUCACGGGCUUAUAACUAUUCCAAACCUCUGUGAACCGUGCCCUUCGGGGCUAUUUUACAAACAUGGUGUAAUGAACGUCAUAUAUCAUAACAAAGCAAAACUUUCAACAACGGAUCUCU
This 166-nucleotide unclassified non-coding RNA is filed under the name soil metagenome. Its description in RNAcentral is "partial contains 5.8S ribosomal RNA, internal transcribed spacer 2, and large subunit ribosomal RNA". The record is from RNAcentral.